UUAUAUUAUAUAUGCAGAUACUACCUCCUUUGCUUGUUUCUAGUGUUGCCUUACAUGUGCUCUAUUGUUUCUUUUGAUGCAGGUACAUGAAUACCUGUCGGCAUGCCCUCGAUACAUUCAGAUUUUAGCACCGAGACUCUCACACCGCAAGUUUGACACUGACAGGGAAGUCGGUCAAAAUCAAUCCUCCGUGAUGUUUUUGUUGCGCAUGUGCUGCUUCAACUCUAGUUAAUUUGCUCUAUUAUUAUCCCACAAGCUGCAGUGACGGAGAUCACACGCUCCUUCGACCAGCCACGGCCAGCCUCCGUGUUCGGCCCCUUCAGCCUCGCCCCCGAACUCGCCCGCUGCUCCUUCAACCACAUGCUCUGCUGCGAGUGUGCUGGGCGUCGUCCUCCUUGACGCGUCCGCCCCCGACGAGCUCUCCUGGUCGGAGGAGGUGGAGCAGCAAGACCUCCUAUCCUCCAGCGCGUGGACCGACAAUUGCGUCCUCCUGCUCUCCUAGCGUGUUUGCUCUCUGCUAUGCCAAAGCCAUCAUUGUGAGCCAUCAGUGCAUUACAUUGUGUUUCCCAGAAUUACUCUCCCAGGUCGGUCUCUAUCGCGUAUACCAUGAUCGGAGAUGUCUUCCUGUACAUUUAUGGCAAGGAUGAAUAUGAUGAGC
Molecule: long non-coding RNA, 658 nt
Organism: Triticum dicoccoides
Lineage: Eukaryota; Viridiplantae; Streptophyta; Magnoliopsida; Poales; Poaceae
Exons: 4
Source: RefSeq, a predicted model, not a curated record